AAGAUCAAGUGUAGUAUCUGUUCUUAUCAGUUUAAUAUCUGAUACGAGGCUCAUCGAGCCUCACGAUAUUAAUCUAAUUUAUCUCGGGUGCGGGCCCAUCCGGCAGCUUGCUGCCCGGGCCAGCGCGCGUCGCCUUGGUCUUGCACUACCUCCUCGGCCGGCGCAGCCCAUUUCCCUCCGUUUCCCGGAGGGCCCCCCCCCUACAAUGCAAAGAGCGAAACUGGAAAGAGUGUGCGCGUGAGGGGACCCCCAACGUCGGCAGCGGGGCUGAGUGGAGGUGGCAACCAGUCGUGUCACGCUCCGCUGGUGCUGGUGCUGCUUGAUGCUUGAUCUGGAGGUGGAGGUGGAGGUGGAGUUGGAGUUGGAGUUGGACGCCACCUCAAAAGAAAACACAGACGGAGAAGAAGAAAAAGCAGCAGCAGAAGACGAAGAAAAACAAGAGGAAUGAAUAAUAAACACAAAAUGUCGAGAAAAAUGAAUAUAACCAAACUUGGUUACAUGUUUUUCAUGUUUUUUAUUUUUAUUUUUAUUUUUUCUUUCUGUGUUUGAUUUUAUUUGUUUUUGUUUUGUUUUGUUGUUCUUGUUGGGUUAUUGUUGUAUAAUUGUCUGAAAAAACUGUGGUCUUGAGUAUUGGUCGAAUUCUGUUCUGUGGUUUGUGGCGUAUGUUUGCUUGUUUAUUUAUUUAAAUUUAUUUUUCAGCAUUGCAGUUUCCGUUUCUUAUUUAUGAAAACUCGAUUUUGUUGUUUUGUUUAUUGUUGAUGUUGUUAUUAUUGUGUUUUUUGAAAUACACGUUUUCGUUCUUUAUCACAAAUGUUGCGCUGCUUAUUUCGAUGUACCAGUGUAUGCUUGUUAUCGAUUGAUUGACUGAUUGUUUUAUUGUGUUUUUGUUUUUGUUUUUGUUUUGUUUUGUUUGUUUGUUUUUAUUAUUUUAAUUUGUCUCUUUCUCUCAUAGCCUGCUGUCGUCGUUAUGGUCUUGAUGACGAUAACGAUGAUUAAUAGUUAUCUGUUUGUUUGAAAGAACAUAGCUUCAAAAUUCAAGAUAUCCCCUUCUCUCUUCACUCGCCUGUUUCUUAGAAUUGUGUUCAUCCAUUGAUUUGAGUGGAUUUGAGUGGUCAAUCUUAGGGGAGAUGGGGUGGUUUUGUGCAUCAAUGUUUUGAGGCAGGAACACACAUGGUUGACUCCAACAGCAACACACAGUGGUGGUGGGAAGUUGAGAGGGAUGCAGGAGGAUGCAGAUUGCACGUUGGGUUAGUGGGCGGAGAAGCGGCAGGGCAUGCGUCGGUCCCAUACGGUUGGGUGGAAGAAGGAGCAGGGCAUGCGUAGAAGAGCGUGGGUGAGAAGGCGGUGGAGGCAUGGGGCCGGGCGCUCAGCACAGAGCGAACUAUUCUUUCGCCUUUUACUAAAGAAUACCGUGCGCUGGGCGCAACGACCGGCAUAGCCAGAGUUUUUGGACUGCCCCGUUUGCGGGGCCCACCAAUUGGAAGCGCGAAACCGGAUUGUAUGGAGAACAGGGACAGGGCCUCCGUAUGACUUGUCUCCGUGGGUGGGUUGGAGAAGUGUGCCUCCUGCCACACCCGAGAGUGGGAGAGAAGCAGCGACUCGCGGUCCGCAGAGGGGCUGGCGCCGGGCCACACAUCAUCCGUCAGCACAGCAUGCCGCGCGAGAGAAAAGGGGCGCGCGCGUGUGCGUGUGUUUCAUCGAGUGCGUGCGUUUGCCGGGAGUCGAACCCGGGUCCAUUGCUUGGAAGGCAAUUAUCCUAACCGUUGGACUACAAACGCCCGGCGGCCGCGAACCGAGACCACGCACCACGGGCCCACGGCCGCGAACCGAGACCACGCACCACGGGCCCACGGCCGCUUCCACUCGCACGGCUGCGCGCUCACGGCGUCGUCUACCACCUGGCUCAUCUCGACGGGCCCUCCCGUUGGCGGCAUCUCGUGCACCGACUCAACACCGCAAAAAGUCCACGCCUCAGCGUCAAGAGAGAGGUGCACACUUACUUACUCGCGCUGAGUUUGCGCAUCCCUCCCCGUUCGGGCACCUCGCCGAACUCCGUCGGUCCUGCCGGCACCGAGUUGUGUCCCACCUGCACUCCGAGGCUCCGGGCAGUGCGCCAGCCACGGUCCCCUCCCCGACGCAACCACAAAUCCGAGGCGAGAGCGACACGACACAAGGCUGGCACACUUCGAGCCAUCCUGUUUGGGGUUUUGUGCGUUGUGAGGUCUCGGCCUACGCCAGACCUUCCAGAAAUUCUGGGGCGCCCUUGCGGGCACCGCAGGGGGGUUGGAAAUAGUUUUCAACCAGCAAUUGACGCGUCUCGGGUUUGCCUCACUAACUGCGUCAUUGCCCCAAGCGCAAAGAUACCGUCCUCCUUCCCGCCUCCCCCCGAAUGUACCUCCCUCGGGGGCUCGUCUCCUCCCAUCGCUAUGGGGCAAUCUGCCCCGACCCACCACCAAAUCGUCACCAGGCGCCGCUGCCGGGGGCGACACACCGUGCCGGCCAUCGCGUGCAUCCCUUUCGCCGCACCACCAGGCUGUGCGCUGGGCCGUGCCUCAGUCAGAGAUUGCGUUCUCAUCGGCACAGUCAGAGACCGGGGUCAAACGUGCACCUCGCAAAAAUCCAACGCCCAUCGCCCCCCUCCUCCCUCGCGCAGGGAGGAGGUAGUGGCCCGAUCCGACUCGGGUGUGUGAUCGCCGUUCUUCCCCCCCGUGCGGGAGCAACGCUCACUGCCACAGCAGCUGCCCCGAGUGUUCACUGGACCAUCGAUCGGGAGGGCGGCGCAAGACUUUUGUCCAGGCGCAGGUGCGCGUGGUGCGAAUGUAUGCAGCAGCCGGCAGGUAAUGCCGAUGUAUGCAGCAGACCUCAGAUAAUGCGGGGGGUUUCUGGGAACUCACGACCGACACACUACUUCCAAAUCAUGAACGCACCCGUACCCAGUUUCCUCCGGUUUCGGCUUCCACUUUAGGCGGGGGCCGCGCGAACGCGAGCCCCCACUGCCACAAAUUACGACGUGUAUGCCCUCCGUAGAGAGAUACUAGAGCCGCCCGCCCCGUCAGUGCAAUGGGCCGGGCUCCUCUAGGCCAUCCACCUUCCUGAUCAUGGAUCGACCCCGCCCAGGUAAGUGCCCACUCCAGCGCUCCUCCGCACCCUUCUACCACCCACCCAUACCUCGCCGCUCCAACCCGUGUGGGACAUUCUCACCCACCCUCGCUCUCCUGCUCCCUCCGCCCCCCUCACCACGCCUUCACCUCCAUUUCUCACUCCCUCUCCCUCCCUGCUACAACCAACAUCUCACCUCAAAAUCACUCCAUUGCUCCCCGCCUCCCACAAACGCCAUACCCGCACCAUCGUACAACACUCGCUGGAAGCAGAAGCAGAACAAGCAGAAGAAUAAAGGAACAACCCACCAAACAAACACGCAAAUCAAUCAAUCGUUAAAUAAAGAAUGCUUUUUUCAAACCUUGCACUUGUUCACUCUUACAAAUCCACUUUUGGAACAAAGCAAAAAGGCUCUCAAUUCCAAAUGCCAUCCCAUCCAACACAUCCAUGCCCCUAGACUCAAACAUUUUCAACCCCCCUACCUAUUUCAACGUUACAUCAUGUCAAUUCUCAUGCUAUUCCACAGUUCUUGCACUGCGGCCUUCACAUCUGCACUCCACAACCUACCCUUGCACUUACAUUUUUUUUUAAUUUUUUUUAAUUUAUUAUAUAUAUAUAUUAUUUUAUUUAUCAUUAUUAUAAUCCAUGUCUGAAAAUUAAAAAAAAACAUAUACCAAUAGGCAAAUCAACAAAAUAAGCAAUAUCUCCCAUGAUUGUUUUUUUUUUUUUUUUUUUUUUUUUUUUGUUUCGUUUAGGGUAUAGGGCUGUUUUCCCUAUUAAUUGUAUGUACGUAUGUAUGUAUACACACUGUUAUGACACUCACUCACAUGAAUACACCCUAGGUAACAAAAUGCCACGUUUUCCCAUGUUUUGGGAUAUUUUGUUUGACCAUGAGUAGUAGCACCGGUAGAGCCCCCGUACCCUUUACAGUCUUGAAACGAAGAAAAUCACGGUAUUCAGCAUGGUUGAUUUGGUGUUGUGUGGUUGCAAAAUGCAAGAGAGCCUGGGGACGAUGGUGAUUCGGAGGGCGGGGGCUUUGAUUUGGUGGUGUGGCGAGUGUGAUGAUAUGUCGAAGUGGCAGUGUGAAUGGGUAAAUGCCCCAUAGUGUGUGCAGGCGGGAGGGCGGAGGUGGGGGUAGAAGAGGGGCGGGGCGGGAGGGGAGGGGCAUACCUUUCUCGGCCUUUUGGCUAAGAUCAAGUGUAGUAUCUGUUCUUAUCAGUUUAAUAUCUGAUACGAGGCUCAUCGAGCCUCACGAUAUUAAUCUAAUUUAUCUCGGGUGCGGGCCCAUCCGGCAGCUUGCUGCCCGGGCCAGCGCGCGUCGCCUUGGUCUUGCACUACCUCCUCGGCCGGCGCAGCCCAUUUCCCUCCGUUUCCCGGAGGGCCCCCCCCCUACAAUGCAAAGAGCGAAACUGGAAAGAGUGUGCGCGUGAGGGGACCCCCAACGUCGGCAGCGGGGCUGAGUGGAGGUGGCAACCAGUCGUGUCACGCUCCGCUGGUGCUGGUGCUGCUUGAUGCUUGAUCUGGAGGUGGAGGUGGAGGUGGAGUUGGAGUUGGAGUUGGACGCCACCUCAAAAGAAAACACAGACGGAGAAGAAGAAAAAGCAGCAGCAGAAGACGAAGAAAAACAAGAGGAAUGAAUAAUAAACACAAAAUGUCGAGAAAAAUGAAUAUAACCAAACUUGGUUACAUGUUUUUCAUGUUUUUUAUUUUUAUUUUUAUUUUUUCUUUCUGUGUUUGAUUUUAUUUGUUUUUGUUUUGUUUUGUUGUUCUUGUUGGGUUAUUGUUGUAUAAUUGUCUGAAAAAACUGUGGUCUUGAGUAUUGGUCGAAUUCUGUUCUGUGGUUUGUGGCGUAUGUUUGCUUGUUUAUUUAUUUAAAUUUAUUUUUCAGCAUUGCAGUUUCCGUUUCUUAUUUAUGAAAACUCGAUUUUGUUGUUUUGUUUAUUGUUGAUGUUGUUAUUAUUGUGUUUUUUGAAAUACACGUUUUCGUUCUUUAUCACAAAUGUUGCGCUGCUUAUUUCGAUGUACCAGUGUAUGCUUGUUAUCGAUUGAUUGACUGAUUGUUUUAUUGUGUUUUUGUUUUUGUUUUUGUUUUGUUUUGUUUGUUUGUUUUUAUUAUUUUAAUUUGUCUCUUUCUCUCAUAGCCUGCUGUCGUCGUUAUGGUCUUGAUGACGAUAACGAUGAUUAAUAGUUAUCUGUUUGUUUGAAAGAACAUAGCUUCAAAAUUCAAGAUAUCCCCUUCUCUCUUCACUCGCCUGUUUCUUAGAAUUGUGUUCAUCCAUUGAUUUGAGUGGAUUUGAGUGGUCAAUCUUAGGGGAGAUGGGGUGGUUUUGUGCAUCAAUGUUUUGAGGCAGGAACACACAUGGUUGACUCCAACAGCAACACACAGUGGUGGUGGGAAGUUGAGAGGGAUGCAGGAGGAUGCAGAUUGCACGUUGGGUUAGUGGGCGGAGAAGCGGCAGGGCAUGCGUCGGUCCCAUACGGUUGGGUGGAAGAAGGAGCAGGGCAUGCGUAGAAGAGCGUGGGUGAGAAGGCGGUGGAGGCAUGG
This 5644-nucleotide long non-coding RNA is filed under the name Physcomitrium patens. RNAcentral's name for it is "long non-coding RNA (PPAT_LNC014892)". The stretch from base 4266 to 4459 matches the Rfam family "U2 spliceosomal RNA". Lineage: Eukaryota; Viridiplantae; Streptophyta; Bryopsida; Funariales; Funariaceae. The record is from RNAcentral.